CCUUCACCUUCGUAGCGCUUUGUGUUUGAGCAGGGAGCUCCCACUACUUUAAGAUCCUUUUAUUUGGACAGUCUAGGUACUUUAAUUGACCACAACCAUGUCCCUUGGACAUCAGUGUGCAUAAAUUGUACAUGGUUUGUUCCAUUUGAGUAAGAUCCUACCCCUUCACACUCUGCGAUACAACAAGGAUGCUGAUUACUAAGACAAGACCUCUUUUCUUGGCCUAUUACUGUGCAUGACUACAUUUGCCCAUGUGCCUGUGCACUGGAUAAAAACACUGCUCCACCUCCCCUUGCUAACUCCCCAGCACCUUUUCCUUACAGCAGGGAGCACCCACUGGUUUAAGAUCCUUUUAUUUGGACAGUCAAGGUUCAUGACAUUAAUUGAAUACGAUCAUGUCCUUUGACAUCAAUGUAUAUAAUUGCACAUGGUUCAUCCAUUUGCAUAAGAUCCUACCCCCUCACACACUUAGUGUGAUACAGCAAGGGUAGUGACCACGGGGCCUCUUUUCUUGGCCUGUUGCUGUGCAUAACUGCAUUUGUCCAUGCUCCUGUGCACUGGAUAAGGACACCAAACCAUCUUCCCUGCCCCCUCUACCCUAGUUCCUUUGCUUUACAGCAGGCAGUGCCCACUAUGUUAAGAUUCUUUUAUUUCGAUAGUCAAGGUACAUGACUUUAAUUGACCACAACCAUGUCCCUUGGACGUCAGUGUGUAUAAUCGCACAUGCUUCCUCCCAUUUGAAUAAGAUCCAACCCCUUCACAGAUUUUGUGGGAUAUAAGAAGGGUGCUGACGACUCAGGCGUCUUUUCUUGGUCUGUUAUGGUGCAUAACUGCAUUUGUCCAUGUUCCUGUGCACUGGAUAAGGACACAGCCCAGUCCUCUCUGCCCCUUCACCUUCGUAGCGCUUUGUGUUUGAGCAGGGAGCUCCCACUACUUUAAGAUCCUUUUAUUUGGACAGUCUAGGUACUUUAAUUGACCACAACCAUGUCCCUUGGACAUCAGUGUGCAUAAAUUGUACAUGGUUUGUUCCAUUUGAGUAAGAUCCUACCCCUUCACACUCUGCGAUACAACAAGGAUGCUGAUUACUAAGACAAGACCUCUUUUCUUGGCCUAUUACUGUGCAUGACUACAUUUGCCCAUGUGCCUGUGCACUGGAUAAAAACACUGCUCCACCUCCCCUUACUAACUCCCCAGCACCUUUUCCUUACAGCAGGGAGCACCCACUGGUUUAAGAUCCUUUUAUUUGGACAGUCAAGGUUCAUGACAUUAAUUGAAUACGAUCAUGUCCUUUGACAUCAAUGUAUAUAAGUGCACAUGGUUCAUCCAUUUGCAUAAGAUCCUACCCCCUCACACACUUAGUGUGAUAUAGCAAGGGUAGUGACCACGGGGCCUCUUUUCUUGGCCUGUUGCUGUGCAUAACUGCAUUUGUCCAUGCUCCUGUGCACUGGAUAAGGACACCAAACCAUCUUCCCUGCCCCCUCUACCCUAGUUCCUUUGCUUUACAGCAGGCAGUGCCCACUAUGUUAAGAUUCUUUUAUUUCGAUAGUCAAGGUACAUGACUUUAAUUGACCACAACCAUGUCCCUUGGACAUCAGUGUGUAUAAUUGCACAUGCUUCCUCCCAUUUGAAUAAGAUCCAACCCCUUCACAGAUUUUGUGGGAUAUAAGAAGGGUGCUGACGACUCAGGCGUCUUUUCUUGGUCUGUUAUGGUGCAUAACUGCAUUUGUCCAUGUUCCUGUGCACUGGAUAAGGACACAGCCCAGUCCUCUCUGCCCCUUCACCUUCGUAGCGCUUUGUGUUUGAGCAGGGAGCUCCCACUACUUUAAGAUCCUUUUAUUUGGACAGUCUAGGUACUUUAAUUGACCACAACCAUGUCCCUUGGACAUCAGUGUGCAUAAAUUGUACAUGGUUUGUUCCAUUUGAGUAAGAUCCUACCCCUUCACACUCUGCGAUACAACAAGGAUGCUGAUUACUAAGACAAGACCUCUUUUCUUGGCCUAUUACUGUGCAUGACUACAUUUGCCCAUGUGCCUGUGCACUGGAUAAAAACACUGCUCCACCUCCCCUUGCUAACUCCCCAGCACCUUUUCCUUACAGCAGGGAGCACCCACUGGUUUAAGAUCCUUUUAUUUGGACAGUCAAGGUUCAUGACAUUAAUUGAAUACGAUCAUGUCCUUUGACAUCAAUGUAUAUAAUUGCACAUGGUUCAUCCAUUUGCAUAAGAUCCUACCCCCUCACACACUUAGUGUGAUACAGCAAGGGUAGUGACCACGGGGCCUCUUUUCUUGGCCUGUUGCUGUGCAUAACUGCAUUUGUCCAUGCUCCUGUGCACUGGAUAAGGACACCAAACCAUCUUCCCUGCCCCCUCUACCCUAGUUCCUUUGCUUUACAGCAGGCAGUGCCCACUAUGUUAAGAUUCUUUUAUUUCGAUAGUCAAGGUACAUGACUUUAAUUGACCACAACCAUGUCCCUUGGACGUCAGUGUGUAUAAUCGCACAUGCUUCCUCCCAUUUGAAUAAGAUCCAACCCCUUCACAGAUUUUGUGGGAUAUAAGAAGGGUGCUGACGACUCAGGCGUCUUUUCUUGGUCUGUUAUGGUGCAUAACUGCAUUUGUCCAUGUUCCUGUGCACUGGAUAAGGACACAGCCCAGUCCUCUCUGCCCCUUCACCUUCGUAGCGCUUUGUGUUUGAGCAGGGAGCUCCCACUACUUUAAGAUCCUUUUAUUUGGACAGUCUAGGUACUUUAAUUGACCACAACCAUGUCCCUUGGACAUCAGUGUGCAUAAAUUGUACAUGGUUUGUUCCAUUUGAGUAAGAUCCUACCCCUUCACACUCUGCGAUACAACAAGGAUGCUGAUUACUAAGACAAGACCUCUUUUCUUGGCCUAUUACUGUGCAUGACUACAUUUGCCCAUGUGCCUGUGCACUGGAUAAAAACACUGCUCCACCUCCCCUUACUAACUCCCCAGCACCUUUUCCUUACAGCAGGGAGCACCCACUGGUUUAAGAUCCUUUUAUUUGGACAGUCAAGGUUCAUGACAUUAAUUGAAUACGAUCAUGUCCUUUGACAUCAAUGUAUAUAAGUGCACAUGGUUCAUCCAUUUGCAUAAGAUCCUACCCCCUCACACACUUAGUGUGAUAUAGCAAGGGUAGUGACCACGGGGCCUCUUUUCUUGGCCUGUUGCUGUGCAUAACUGCAUUUGUCCAUGCUCCUGUGCACUGGAUAAGGACACCAAACCAUCUUCCCUGCCCCCUCUACCCUAGUUCCUUUGCUUUACAGCAGGCAGUGCCCACUAUGUUAAGAUUCUUUUAUUUCGAUAGUCAAGGUACAUGACUUUAAUUGACCACAACCAUGUCCCUUGGACAUCAGUGUGUAUAAUUGCACAUGCUUCCUCCCAUUUGAAUAAGAUCCAACCCCUUCACAGAUUUUGUGGGAUAUAAGAAGGGUGCUGACGACUCAGGCGUCUUUUCUUGGUCUGUUAUGGUGCAUAACUGCAUUUGUCCAUGUUCCUGUGCACUGGAUAAGGACACAGCCCAGUCCUCUCUGCCCCUUCACCUUCGUAGCGCUUUGUGUUUGAGCAGGGAGCUCCCACUACUUUAAGAUCCUUUUAUUUGGACAGUCUAGGUACUUUAAUUGACCACAACCAUGUCCCUUGGACAUCAGUGUGCAUAAAUUGUACAUGGUUUGUUCCAUUUGAGUAAGAUCCUACCCCUUCACACUCUGCGAUACAACAAGGAUGCUGAUUACUAAGACAAGACCUCUUUUCUUGGCCUAUUACUGUGCAUGACUACAUUUGCCCAUGUGCCUGUGCACUGGAUAAAAACACUGCUCCACCUCCCCUUGCUAACUCCCCAGCACCUUUUCCUUACAGCAGGGAGCACCCACUGGUUUAAGAUCCUUUUAUUUGGACAGUCAAGGUUCAUGACAUUAAUUGAAUACGAUCAUGUCCUUUGACAUCAAUGUAUAUAAUUGCACAUGGUUCAUCCAUUUGCAUAAGAUCCUACCCCCUCACACACUUAGUGUGAUACAGCAAGGGUAGUGACCACGGGGCCUCUUUUCUUGGCCUGUUGCUGUGCAUAACUGCAUUUGUCCAUGCUCCUGUGCACUGGAUAAGGACACCAAACCAUCUUCCCUGCCCCCUCUACCCUAGUUCCUUUGCUUUACAGCAGGCAGUGCCCACUAUGUUAAGAUUCUUUUAUUUCGAUAGUCAAGGUACAUGACUUUAAUUGACCACAACCAUGUCCCUUGGACGUCAGUGUGUAUAAUCGCACAUGCUUCCUCCCAUUUGAAUAAGAUCCAACCCCUUCACACAUUUUGUGGGAUAUAAGAAGGGUGCUGACGACUCAGGCGUCUUUUCUUGGUCUGUUAUGGUGCAUAACUGCAUUUGUCCAUGUUCCUGUGCACUGGAUAAGGACACAGCCCAGUCCUCUCUGCCCUUCACCUUCGUAGCGCUUUGUGUUUGAGCAGGGAGCUCCCACUACUUUAAGAUCCUUUUAUUUGGACAGUCUAGGUACUUUAAUUGACCACAACCAUGUCCCUUGGACAUCAGUGUGCAUAAAUUGUACAUGGUUUGUUCCAUUUGAGUAAGAUCCUACCCCUUCACACUCUGCGAUACAACAAGGAUGCUGAUUACUAAGACAAGACCUCUUUUCUUGGCCUAUUACUGUGCAUGACUACAUUUGCCCAUGUGCCUGUGCACUGGAUAAAAACACUGCUCCACCUCCCCUUGCUAACUCCCCAGCACCUUUUCCUUACAGCAGGGAGCACCCACUGGUUUAAGAUCCUUUUAUUUGGACAGUCAAGGUUCAUGACAUUAAUUGAAUACGAUCAUGUCCUUUGACAUCAAUGUAUAUAAUUGCACAUGGUUCAUCCAUUUGCAUAAGAUCCUACCCCCUCACACACUUAGUGUGAUACAGCAAGGGUAGUGACCACGGGGCCUCUUUUCUUGGCCUGUUGCUGUGCAUAACUGCAUUUGUCCAUGCUCCUGUGCACUGGAUAAGGACACCAAACCAUCUUCCCUGCCCCCUCUACCCUAGUUCCUUUGCUUUACAGCAGGCAGUGCCCACUAUGUUAAGAUUCUUUUAUUUCGAUAGUCAAGGUACAUGACUUUAAUUGACCACAACCAUGUCCCUUGGACGUCAGUGUGUAUAAUUGCACAUGCUUCCUCCCAUUUGAAUAAGAUCCAACCCCUUCACAGAUUUUGUGGGAUAUAAGAAGGGUGCUGACGACUCAGGCGUCUUUUCUUGGUCUGUUAUGGUGCAUAACUGCAUUUGUCCAUGUUCCUGUGCACUGGAUAAGGACACAGCCCAGUCCUCUCUGCCCCUUCACCUUCGUAGCGCUUUGUGUUUGAGCAGGGAGCUCCCACUACUUUAAGAUCCUUUUAUUUGGACAGUCUAGGUACUUUAAUUGACCACAACCAUGUCCCUUGGACAUCAGUGUGCAUAAAUUGUACAUGGUUUGUUCCAUUUGAGUAAGAUCCUACCCCUUCACACUCUGCGAUACAACAAGGAUGCUGAUUACUAAGACAAGACCUCUUUUCUUGGCCUAUUACUGUGCAUGACUACAUUUGCCCAUGUGCCUGUGCACUGGAUAAAAACACUGCUCCACCUCCCCUUGCUAACUCCCCAGCACCUUUUCCUUAACAGCAGGGAGCACCCACUGAUUUAAGAUCCUUUUAUUUGGACAGUCAAGGUUCAUGACAUUAAUUGAAUACGAUCAUGUCCUUUGACAUCAAUGUAUAUAAUUGCACAUGGUUCAUCCAUUUGCAUAAGAUCCUACCCCCUCACACACUUAGUGUGAUACAGCAAGGGUAGUGACCACGGGGCCUCUUUUCUUGGCCUGUUGCUGUGCAUAACUGCAUUUGUCCAUGCUCCUGUGCACUGGAUAAGGACACCAAACCAUCUUCCCUGCCCCCUCUACCCUAGUUCCUUUGCUUUACAGCAGGCAGUGCCCACUAUGUUAAGAUUCUUUUAUUUCGAUAGUCAAGGUACAUGACUUUAAUUGACCACAACCAUGUCCCUUGGACAUCAGUGUGUAUAAUUGCACAUGCUUCCUCCCAUUUGAAUAAGAUCCAACCCCUUCACAGAUUUUGUGGGAUAUAAGAAGGGUGCUGACGACUCAGGCAUCUUUUCUUGGUCUGUUAUGGUGCAUAACUGCAUUUGUCCAUGUUCCUGUGCACUGGAUAAGGACACAGCCCAGUCCUCUCUGCCCCUUCACCUUCGUAGCGCUUUGUGUUUGAGCAGGGAGCUCCCACUACUUUAAGAUCCUUUUAUUUGGACAGUUUAGGUACUUUAAUUGACCACAACCAUGUCCCUUGGACAUCAGUGUGCAUAAAUUGUACAUGGUUUGUUCCAUUUGAGUAAGAUCCUACCCCUUCACACUCUGCGAUACAACAAGGAUGCUGAUUACUAAGACAAGACCUCUUUUCUUGGCCUAUUACUGUGCAUGACUACAUUUGCCCAUGUGCCUGUGCACUGGAUAAAAACACUGCUCCACCUCCCCUUGCUAACUCCCCAGCACCUUUUCCUUACAGCAGGGAGCACCCACUGGUUUAAGAUCCUUUUAUUUGGACAGUCAAGGUUCAUGACAUUAAUUGAAUACGAUCAUGUCCUUUGACAUCAAUGUAUAUAAUUGCACAUGGUUCAUCCAUUUGCAUAAGAUCCUACCCCCUCACACACUUAGUGUGAUAUAGCAAGGGUAGUGACCACGGGGCCUCUUUUCUUGGCCUGUUGCUGUGCAUAACUGCAUUUGUCCAUGCUCCUGUGCACUGGAUAAGGACACCAAACCAUCUUCCCUGCCCCCUCUACCCUAGUUCCUUUGCUUUACAGCAGGCAGUGCCCACUAUGUUAAGAUUCUUUUAUUUCGAUAGUCAAGGUACAUGACUUUAAUUGACCACAACCAUGUCCCUUGGACAUCAGUGUGUAUAAUUGCACAUGCUUCCUCCCAUUUGAAUAAGAUCCAACCCCUUCACAGAUUUUGUGGGAUAUAAGAAGGGUGCUGACGACUCAGGCGUCUUUUCUUGGUCUGUUAUGGUGCAUAACUGCAUUUGUCCAUGUUCCUGUGCACUGGAUAAGGACACAGCCCAGUCCUCUCUGCCCCUUCACCUUCGUAGCGCUUUGUGUUUGAGCAGGGAGCUCCCACUACUUUAAGAUCCUUUUAUUUGGACAGUCUAGGUACUUUAAUUGACCACAACCAUGUCCCUUGGACAUCAGUGUGCAUAAAUUGUACAUGGUUUGUUCCAUUUGAGUAAGAUCCUACCCCUUCACACUCUGCGAUACAACAAGGAUGCUGAUUACUAAGACAAGACCUCUUUUCUUGGCCUAUUACUGUGCAUGACUACAUUUGCCCAUGUGCCUGUGCACUGGAUAAAAACACUGCUCCACCUCCCCUUGCUAACUCCCCAGCACCUUUUCCUUACAGCAGGGAGCACCCACUGGUUUAAGAUCCUUUUAUUUGGACAGUCAAGGUUCAUGACAUUAAUUGAAUACGAUCAUGUCCUUUGACAUCAAUGUAUAUAAUUGCACAUGGUUCAUCCAUUUGCAUAAGAUCCUACCCCCUCACACACUUAGUGUGAUACAGCAAGGGUAGUGACCACGGGGCCUCUUUUCUUGGCCUGUUGCUGUGCAUAACUGCAUUUGUCCAUGCUCCUGUGCACUGGAUAAGGACACCAAACCAUCUUCCCUGCCCCCUCUACCCUAGUUCCUUUGCUUUACAGCAGGCAGUGCCCACUAUGUUAAGAUUCUUUUAUUUCGAUAGUCAAGGUACAUGACUUUAAUUGACCACAACCAUGUCCCUUGGACGUCAGUGUGUAUAAUCGCACAUGCUUCCUCCCAUUUGAAUAAGAUCCAACCCCUUCACAGAUUUUGUGGGAUAUAAGAAGGGUGCUGACGACUCAGGCGUCUUUUCUUGGUCUGUUAUGGUGCAUAACUGCAUUUGUCCAUGUUCCUGUGCACUGGAUAAGGACACAGCCCAGUCCUCUCUGCCCCUUCACCUUCGUAGCGCUUUGUGUUUGAGCAGGGAGCUCCCACUACUUUAAGAUCCUUUUAUUUGGACAGUCUAGGUACUUUAAUUGACCACAACCAUGUCCCUUGGACAUCAGUGUGCAUAAAUUGUACAUGGUUUGUUCCAUUUGAGUAAGAUCCUACCCCUUCACACUCUGCGAUACAACAAGGAUGCUGAUUACUAAGACAAGACCUCUUUUCUUGGCCUAUUACUGUGCAUGACUACAUUUGCCCAUGUGCCUGUGCACUGGAUAAAAACACUGCUCCACCUCCCCUUGCUAACUCCCCAGCACCUUUUCCUUACAGCAGGGAGCACCCACUGGUUUAAGAUCCUUUUAUUUGGACAGUCAAGGUUCAUGACAUUAAUUGAAUACGAUCAUGUCCUUUGACAUCAAUGUAUAUAAUUGCACAUGGUUCAUCCAUUUGCAUAAGAUCCUACCCCCUCACACACUUAGUGUGAUACAGCAAGGGUAGUGACCACGGGGCCUCUUUUCUUGGCCUGUUGCUGUGCAUAACUGCAUUUGUCCAUGCUCCUGUGCACUGGAUAAGGACACCAAACCAUCUUCCCUGCCCCCUCUACCCUAGUUCCUUUGCUUUACAGCAGGCAGUGCCCACUAUGUUAAGAUUCUUUUAUUUCGAUAGUCAAGGUACAUGACUUUAAUUGACCACAACCAUGUCCCUUGGACAUCAGUGUGUAUAAUUGCACAUGCUUCCUCCCAUUUGAAUAAGAUCCAACCCCUUCACAGAUUUUGUGGGAUAUAAGAAGGGUGCUGACGACUCAGGCAUCUUUUCUUGGUCUGUUAUGGUGCAUAACUGCAUUUGUCCAUGUUCCUGUGCACUGGAUAAGGACACAGCCCAGUCCUCUCUGCCCCUUCACCUUCGUAGCGCUUUGUGUUUGAGCAGGGAGCUCCCACUACUUUAAGAUCCUUUUAUUUGGACAGUCUAGGUACUUUAAUUGACCACAACCAUGUCCCUUGGACAUCAGUGUGCAUAAAUUGUACAUGGUUUGUUCCAUUUGAGUAAGAUCCUACCCCUUCACACUCUGCGAUACAACAAGGAUGCUGAUUACUAAGACAAGACCUCUUUUCUUGGCCUAUUACUGUGCAUGACUACAUUUGCCCAUGUGCCUGUGCACUGGAUAAAAACACUGCUCCACCUCCCCUUGCUAACUCCCCAGCACCUUUUCCUUACAGCAGGGAGCACCCACUGGUUUAAGAUCCUUUUAUUUGGACAGUCAAGGUUCAUGACAUUAAUUGAAUACGAUCAUGUCCUUUGACAUCAAUGUAUAUAAUUGCACAUGGUUCAUCCAUUUGCAUAAGAUCCUACCCCCUCACACACUUAGUGUGAUACAGCAAGGGUAGUGACCACGGGGCCUCUUUUCUUGGCCUGUUGCUGUGCAUAACUGCAUUUGUCCAUGCUCCUGUGCACUGGAUAAGGACACCAAACCAUCUUCCCUGCCCCCUCUACCCUAGUUCCUUUGCUUUACAGCAGGCAGUGCCCACUAUGUUAAGAUUCUUUUAUUUCGAUAGUCAAGGUACAUGACUUUAAUUGACCACAACCAUGUCCCUUGGACGUCAGUGUGUAUAAUCGCACAUGCUUCCUCCCAUUUGAAUAAGAUCCAACCCCUUCACAGAUUUUGUGGGAUAUAAGAAGGGUGCUGACGACUCAGGCGUCUUUUCUUGGUCUGUUAUGGUGCAUAACUGCAUUUGUCCAUGUUCCUGUGCACUGGAUAAGGACACAGCCCAGUCCUCUCUGCCCCUUCACCUUCGUAGCGCUUUGUGUUUGAGCAGGGAGCUCCCACUACUUUAAGAUCCUUUUAUUUGGACAGUCUAGGUACUUUAAUUGACCACAACCAUGUCCCUUGGACAUCAGUGUGCAUAAAUUGUACAUGGUUUGUUCCAUUUGAGUAAGAUCCUACCCCUUCACACUCUGCGAUACAACAAGGAUGCUAAUUACUAAGACAAGACCUCUUUUCUUGGCCUAUUACUGUGCAUGACUACAUUUGCCCAUGUGCCUGUGCACUGGAUAAAAACACUGCUCCACCUCCCCUUGCUAACUCCCCAGCACCUUUUCCUUACAGCAGGGAGCACCCACUGGUUUAAGAUCCUUUUAUUUGGACAGUCAAGGUUCAUGACAUUAAUUGAAUACGAUCAUGUCCUUUGACAUCAAUGUAUAUAAUUGCACAUGGUUCAUCCAUUUGCAUAAGAUCCUACCCCCUCACACACUUAGUGUGAUACAGCAAGGGUAGUGACCACGGGGCCUCUUUUCUUGGCCUGUUGCUGUGCAUAACUGCAUUUGUCCAUGCUCCUGUGCACUGGAUAAGGACACCAAACCAUCUUCCCUGCCCCCUCUACCCUAGUUCCUUUGCUUUACAGCAGGCAGUGCCCACUAUGUUAAGAUUCUUUUAUUUCGAUAGUCAAGGUACAUGACUUUAAUUGACCACAACCAUGUCCCUUGGACGUCAGUGUGUAUAAUUGCACAUGCUUCCUCCCAUUUGAAUAAGAUCCAACCCCUUCACAGAUUUUGUGGGAUAUAAGAAGGGUGCUGACGACUCAGGCGUCUUUUCUUGGUCUGUUAUGGUGCAUAAUUGCAUUUGUCCAUGUUCUGUGCACUGGAUAAGGACACAGCCCAGUCCUCUCUGCCCCUUCACCUUCAUAGCGCUUUGUGUUUGAGCAGGGAGCUCCCACUACUUUAAGAUCCUUUUAUUUGGACAGUCUAGGUACUUUAAUUGACCACAACCAUGUCCCUUGGACAUCAGUGUGCAUAAAUUGUACAUGGUUCCUCCCAUUUCAAUCAGAUCUUACCCCUUCACAAACUUUGUGGGAUAUAACAAGGGUGCUGACCACUAAGGCCUCUUUUCUUGGCCUGUUGCUGUGCAUAACUGCAUUUGUCCGUGUUCCUGUGCCCUAGAUAAGAACACAGGCCUGUCCUCCCUGCCCACUCUCCCCCAGUGCCUUUGCUUACAGCAGGGAGCGCUCACUACUUUAAAAUCCUUUUAUUUCGACAGUCAAGGUACGUGACUUUAAUUGACCACAGCCACGUCCUUUAAGCAUUAAUAUGUAUAAUUGCCUCUUUUUCAUUCUAUUUAAAUAAGGUCUUACCCCCUCACACCCAUUUUACAAUAUAGCAGGGGUGAUGAUGACUAAGAUCUCUCUUGGCUAGUUAAUGUGCAUGAUUGUAUUUGUGACGGUUAUUGUGCAGUAGACAAAGAUGUCCCCAUCAAACUCUCCUUGCCUUCCAGUAAGUGGUGUCCACUGCUGGAGACCCUUGCAUUUGAUAUGUAAUAUGCAUAAUUCCAACUGUUUGGUCUUCAUUAUUAGCCUGAGGUCAUUCCUUCUUACAUUUCCUUUGCGUUAUAACAGGGCUUACUGCUCAACAAAGGCCCUCCUUUUUGGACUGUUAGUGUAUGUAGUUACUUUUGCCCCUGUUCUGUGCACUACUUGAGGGCCCUACCUGCUUCCUUAGCAUUUUUAGCAGGUAGUUCCCACUAUUCAAGAUCCCUACAUCUGAAAAGGUCACAUACACAAUUUUCUACAAGCAUGUCUUACACCAGAAGCCCUGCACCCUCUUUGCUUUAGAGCAGGGAGUGCUGUUCACCUAAUACCCCUUUGGACUUUAAUGUGCAUAAUUGCAAUUGUCCAUCUAUUUAGUUUGGCUAGGAUUCUGUCCCCUCAACUCUUUUGCAUUAAGAUAUGUUAGCCAUACAUGUUCCCUUCUCUUGGGAAUAUAAAUAUGAAUAAUUAUAUUUGUCUGUGGACUUGUGCAGCUAAAAAAAGACCCUAUGCUCCUACCAUUACCUUUGGAUUGCUGCUGAAGGGUACUAGUUAUUCAGGUCCUCAGCUCUUGCACAGUUAAUAUGCACCAAUAACAACUGUGGCGAAUACUGAUCACUAUAAUCCUUGUACCCUCUUUGCAUAGAUGCCUUUGGAGUACUUAAGGCUCCUUUUCUUAGACUGCUAAUGUGAAUAUUUGCAGUUAUCCAUGUCCCCUUUUGUUAAACUAAGAUAGCGUCUCCUCACAUCCCCUUUACAUUACUGCAGAAGCUUCUGACCACCCAAAACCUUCUGGACUGUUAAUGGGUACAGUGGCAAUUAUCAAUAUUUUUCUCUCCCCAGCCCUGUUAUGCAAGCACCCCACCGCCAAUUUCCAAUGCCAUAAUAAAGUGUAAACAUUGCAAAAGGCUAUGAUCUUAUCCAACAAAUCCAUAUAGGGACUCACACUCUCCUUUUGCCUUGCUCCAAUGUAUAAAGUUCCAAGUAUUCAUGGUCUCAACCUUUAUAAAAGGUCUUUUCCCCCGCCCCUUGCCUGCCCUUGGACCUUUCUUAUGAACUAUUAUUAAUGCUCACAAUUUCAGGUAUCCAUGUAUCUAGCCAAUAGAUAAUGUCGUGCUCUCCCCUUUCCCUGCCCUUUUUGCACUGUUGGGGAAUGUUGACUGGCAAGGUCCUUUCUCUGGGACUUUUAAAAGUUUAACAAUCCCGGAGGUCACUGGUUUACCAACUUUGUAUUGCUGUAAUGCAUCAGUUGUACUUCCCUUGGUCCUUCCCAUGCACCCUUCCACUUCCUUCUUUGAGUUGCUUUUGAGUAGUGCUGACUUCUCAAAGUCCCUUCUUUUGUAUUAUCAAUGAGCACAAUACCAAUUGUCCCAUUUUUCAGCCCAUCGAUACUAGAUCCCCCUACCAUUUUGGUUGUAUGUGCAGUGUUGACUACCAAAAGCAGGACUGGAUUAGGUGGCUGGGCCUUCACUUUUUUUUCUGCAUUGUUAGUGAUUCAAGUUACUGUCAAUUCUGGGGCAGGAACCAUUCUUGCCCAGCUGUUACUACUCUACAGUGCAAAAUACCAAGGAGCUGGAUUGCCAUCCUUUAUUUUGGGUUUUCAAUAUAUAGUAUCGCUGAAAAGAGUCUCCCAGGAAGGAGAUUAGCCCUUUCCUUGCAUUCUUCCUUCCAAAGGAGAUUGUCUGACCAAGAAUCUGUCCUCCCCUUUUUUUCUGUAUAUUGGUAUUGUGCAGUGCCAAUUGCCAGGAUACAACUGGAAAAAUUGGUGUUAAUUUUUUACUUUUUAAGGAAGACAUCAGGAUUGCAAGAAGGAAUUGAUAACCUGGUCAUUAAUAUUUCGAAGUCAAAAAUUCCAUUUAUAGCACAUACCGAUAAACAGUGUCUCUUAUUUUACUGAGGGUGGUGAGUCUGUGGACAGACCACUGUGACUCUUGCUAUAUUAGUAUUAUCAAAGGAGUUCUGGAGUGGAACUCUCUAAGACCAGUGUCCUUGUUUGGGCUGUACCACCAUUCACUUUCAGAAAAACCAUCUGAACUUUCUAAUCCUUACAUUUCUUCACCUGGAGCAGUAGCCCAUACUUAUUUCAAGGGGAUUCCUGUAAAAGGUUUACAUGAGAGAACAUAUGCUGAGGUGCUUUUGAAAACCAUAGACCACCCUGUUUGAUUAUUAGGCACCUUCUUAUAGUUCUGGAGAUAAUUUGAAGUAGCCUGAAGCACUACACCGAAGUGAAGCGCUAUCUUAGGAAUGAUGGGACCUGUUUCCCUAUUUUAUAAGAAAAAUAAGCCAAGAUCUAAUCAUUCUUCUGGAUAUAAAUGUCAACAGUGAGAUAGCUUUGUAGUAAAAAUGACUAGUGUCCCAACCUCUAGUGUACAGGGUGCUUUGUGGCAGAGGAGUAUUUAGUAUGGAACUGCUGAAGCAAAUAACUAGUCAUCACAACAGCGAUUACCCUGUAAUCACUGAAAAAGGAUACUGUUCUUAUGAGAAGGAUGUCAAAAGAUCGGCUCAGCUCAGGGUGCAGUUUGCACUACUAGCUCCUUGGACAGCUGUAAGAAGAGUCUCUGGCUCUUUAGAAUACUGGAUGAAUUCACAGCCAGUUCUGUACUCCACUCAAGGAAGAAUGGAUCAAUUUUAGGUGGAUGGAAGCCUACACUAGAUGGCAUCCAAAGACAAGAGAUGCCAACACAGUCUCAAGUGUCCACCUGAUACAAGUAGCUCACUCUUCAUCAGCAUCUCUCUCCAACCCAUUGUCCAGUCCCUUCCAUGUCUGAUGAGCUGUCUUCGGGAAUGGUUCCUGUCCUGGGCCAACAGAAGGUUUGGGGACCAUGACCACCAGGAUUCCUCUAGUCUCAGUCAGAUGGAAUGGUUAUUUCUUUCUAGGAUGAUCCUACCACGUAAGACCUGAGGACUGCAAGCUGCUCUAAGAAGAAAUCCAGCAGAUCAUUCCUUUUGAGAAUCUGGACACACUCCAACUAAUCCAAAAAGUUGAUUUGCAGGCCACUGGAGAAAAAGGUCUUCCAUAAAAUAAUAGGCUUGUUGUCUUACAGUGUUAGUGACCCAUUCCCUUUGAAGAUCCUUAGGUGGAGAUGGGGCAUGAGGAUCUUCCAGGGGAAAUGCUCACUAACUCUGGUCAACAACUCUAUGCCAAGAAAUUGUACCAAAAUACUUCCCUGCACCCAGAUAGGAGGAUGGAAUCUCAAAAGACAACCACCAUAUAUCAAGUGGCUCUUGGUCGUUUCGUCCAUAUCUGCCAAAUCAUUAUCCUUCCCAAAAGCAGUGCAUCCAGGGCUUCCACAGAAUCAGGAGAUUUGAAGACACCAAAGGAAGUCAGCCUUUUGCGUGAAUAUCAAUAUGCCAACCUCUUCAGCAGCUUAGAAUAGCAGGAUGAAGUUAGUUGGUGUUACAAUCCUGUGAGGAUCACUCCAGAACUAUUGAGCGCCUCGCUUUAUCUUGUCUCUUUGGCUUUUUUCCCUCUCUUGCUUAUCUCUUUCACGCCUAUGUGAGUAUUUCUUUGCUUGUCUAUUUCUUCCUCGAGUGUCUUUGCUUUUUCUUCUGUAUGUUAAGUGUGUCUUAACUAUUUCUCUUGCUACUUUCUUCCAUGCAUGCCUUUGUUUCAUUUUCUCUUUUUGUUCCUAAGAGCUGUGUGGUUUGUGCUUUGUCUUAGAUGUGCCUCUUGUGUUUUGUUGUGUUUUUCACUUUCUUGUUUCUUCUCUUUACUCUCCUUUAUCUGGCCUUUUUUCACUUGUUUUGUGUCUGCUGAGUCACGUGCUGUGUUCUUUUUGCUCUUUUCCUGUUCUUCCUACCUCUCUUUUUCUCUCUGUGAAUCCUGAUUGUUUGUUACCCCCUCUGUUGUUUGACUUCUUGUUUUUGAUUCUAGCCAUCCUUCUGCUGUUUCUACUCUAUACCUAUCAUUUCUCUUUUCCACAUUUCCUCUCUGCCUCUCUUGGGCCAUUUUCUCUCUGUUUUCCUUCUCUGUGUGUCUUAGUGUUUCUUUGCUCUUUGUCAUUUU
Loxodonta africana (African savanna elephant) is the source of this 15278-nucleotide long non-coding RNA. RefSeq lists it as uncharacterized. Lineage: Eukaryota; Metazoa; Chordata; Mammalia; Proboscidea; Elephantidae. The transcript has 7 exons. The record is from RefSeq and is a predicted model, not a curated record.